AAAUUGUCACCUGGUUAGAUUCCUUUUAAUCAUCAUAAAAAAGGACAUCAAAUGGUUAUGCAUGGGAUCAAGAUCCAUUUGACUCAAUUUAGAGCAUAAAAUCCUGGGGUCCUCAGCUUUUUUGUAAGCUUUAUUUACUAGUAGUAGUUUGUGGUCUACAUUUGCUAUUAUAUAUACCUUUUCUGAUACAGUUGAGGUUAACUAUUGACCUGUAAACAAGGCAGACAGAUGGAUGACCAAAACUUUUGACCAGGCAGACAAGCUUUAUUCACAAUCACUUAGAAUACGGUAUGCUAUCCCCUUAGGCAGUUCAAAUUCUGCAGCAGUUGGAUAUAUAUGUAUAUAUGAACCAGAAAAGAAUAGAGAUUUUCCAACUGUAGGAUUAAGAGGUUUAAGAAUGCAGCAGCUCUGUAAACUAAGUGGUUAAGAAAUCAAUCAAAAUCUUGGCGGAUGCACUCUAUGGAUCAUUUCAGCGACAACAACUGCAUUAUUGGUGUAAUCACUUUAUGGUUGCCUUUCUUUCUUCUUGUAUCAUGACUGGUGUUAGCACUGCAGCAACUUUGUUUGAUUUUCUGGGAUGCAACGACAUAAUGAUUAAUUAACAACUUUGAACUAUUGAGUAUAUAGUCUAAGAAAUUUUGCUAGUACUCCACUAUAAUUUAAACACACUCCAUGUUCAUGAAGCUCUAACCAUUUGCUAAUGCUUGUAGGUUCGAUUCAAUAUGUGUUUGUAUUAAAAAAACACAUUCUACUCCGGCGUUUGCCCAUUUUCGGGUUGCCAACAGUUCUACUUUCUAAUUUUAUGGAUGAGUAGGCUUCGCUCCACUUUUCUAGCUUCAGCUUUUUCAAAAUCAGCUUCGCUUAUUGUCUUGGAUUUG
This 878-nucleotide long non-coding RNA is filed under the name Nicotiana benthamiana. RNAcentral describes it as "long non-coding RNA (NBEN_LNC011473)". The record is from RNAcentral. Lineage: Eukaryota; Viridiplantae; Streptophyta; Magnoliopsida; Solanales; Solanaceae.